RNAcentral lists this ribosomal RNA (752 nucleotides) under uncultured bacterium. RNAcentral's name for it is "bacterial SSU rRNA". It matches the Rfam family "Bacterial small subunit ribosomal RNA", at positions 8 to 796 of the family's 1533-position model. The record is from RNAcentral.
AGAGUUUGAUCCUGGCUCAGAAUCAACGCUGGCGGCGCGCUUAACACAUGCAAGUCGCACGAGAAAGGGAGCAAUCCUAAGUAAAGUGGCGCACGGGUGAGUAACACGUGGAUCAUCUACCUUUUAGUGGGGAAUACCUCUGGGAAACCGGAGACAAUACCGCAUAAGCCCGCAAGGGGAAAGCAGCAAUGCGCUGAAAGAGGAGUCCGCGGCCGAUUAGCUAGUUGGCGGGGUAACGGCCCACCAAGGCGAAGAUCGGUAGCCGGCCUGAGAGGGCACACGGCCACACUGGCACUGAAACACGGGCCAGACUCCUACGGGAGGCAGCAGUGGGGAAUCUUGCACAAUGGGCGAAAGCCUGAUGCAGCGACGCCGCGUGAGCGAUGAAGCCCUUCGGGGUGUAAAGCUCUUUCGACGGGAACGAUAAUGACGGUACCCGGAGAAGAAGCUGCGGCUAACUACGUGCCAGCAGCCGCGGUAAUACGUAGGCAGCGAGCGUUGUUCGGAAUUACUGGGCGUAAAGAGUGUGUAGGCGGUGUUCCCAGUCUGUUGUGAAAUCUCCCGGCUUAACUGGGAGGGUGCAGCGGAAACUAGAAUGCUAGAGGGUGGGAGAGGUAAGCGGAAUUCCUGGUGUAGCGGUGAAAUGCGUAGAUAUCAGGAGGAACACCUGGUGUAGACAGCUUACUGGACCACUUCUGACGUUGAGACACGAAAGCGUGGGUAGCAAACAGGAUUAGAUACCCUAGUAGUCC